This 73-nucleotide transfer RNA is filed under the name Ursus americanus (American black bear). It matches the Rfam family "tRNA". From Rfam's summary of the family: Transfer RNA (tRNA) molecules are approximately 80 nucleotides in length. Their secondary structure includes four short double-helical elements and three loops (D, anti-codon, and T loops). The record is from Rfam by way of RNAcentral. RNAcentral also lists the same sequence under 2 other names. Lineage: Eukaryota; Metazoa; Chordata; Mammalia; Carnivora; Ursidae.
GCCUGGCUGGCUCAGAUGGAAGAGCAUGUGACUCUUGAUCCCAGGGUUGUGAGUUCAAGUCUCACGUUGGGUA